This 245-nucleotide long non-coding RNA is filed under the name Sorghum bicolor (sorghum). RNAcentral describes it as "long non-coding RNA (SBIC_LNC010814)". Lineage: Eukaryota; Viridiplantae; Streptophyta; Magnoliopsida; Poales; Poaceae. The record is from RNAcentral.
GCACCUUGGUAUUACGGGAUGAUGCAUUAUAAAACUAUCUUGAAGUGAUAAUUGCCUUCUGAGAUAUUCUAUGAUUAUGGUCAUCUAUAAGAAGUUUAAGUUUUGUCAAGAUUGAUCUUUGGUUCGAGCCACCCUUAGUUGUGAGAUCAAUUUUCACCAUACUUAGCAUGUACCUGAGACGUGAUGUGGAGCAUGGAAGUACUAUCUUCUUGGACAUAAAAAAAUAUAAAAAAAUGUCAUCAUGG